UGAAGAACAAGAUCUUGUAUGCCACAUAUGAAGUUGUCAACUCAUAGGUUCUAUAACAAAUUCAUAAUCAUAGUUUCUGCAGCUCUUUGCUAAUCACGGGUUAGUUAAACAAUAAAUGGUUGCAACAAUACUGCAAACAGGCAAGAGCUUCCAAACACAAAGCUAACUGUACACACCAGCCUCAAUAAGCCAUCAUGUGUAAUACGUAUUCAAUAAUGCAUUCAUGCACAAGCAGUAAAUGUAAAAUCCUUAAAACAUGUAGUGACAGUGUAAUUA
This 276-nucleotide unclassified non-coding RNA is filed under the name Hevea brasiliensis (rubber tree). The record is from RNAcentral. Lineage: Eukaryota; Viridiplantae; Streptophyta; Magnoliopsida; Malpighiales; Euphorbiaceae.